GUGGGGAAUAUUGGACAAUGGGCGAAAGCCUGAUCCAGCCAUGCCGCGUGCAGGAAGAAGGCGCUACGCGUUGUAAACUGCUUUUAACCGGGAAGAAACCCCAGGACGUGUCCUGGGUUGACGGUACCGGAGGAAUAAGCACCGGCUAACUUCGUGCCAGCAGCCGCGGUAAUACGAAGGGUGCAAGCGUUAUCCGGAUUCAUUGGGUUUAAAGGGUGCGUAGGCGGAGCGUUAAGUCAGUGGUGAAAUCCUGCAGCUUAACUGUAGACUUGCCAUUGAUGCUGGCGCUCUUGAGUGCGCUUGAAGUGGGCGGAAUGUGCCGUGUAGCGGUGAAAUGCUUAGAUAUGGCACAGAACACCAAUUGCGAAGGCAGCUCACUAAGGCGAUACUGACGCUGAGGCACGAAAGCGUGGGGAUCGAACAGGAUUAGAAACCCCGGUAGUCC
RNAcentral lists this ribosomal RNA (445 nucleotides) under uncultured bacterium. RNAcentral's name for it is "bacterial SSU rRNA". It matches the Rfam family "Bacterial small subunit ribosomal RNA", at positions 354 to 796 of the family's 1533-position model. The record is from RNAcentral.